CGUGUCUUAUCUCUUCCAUUUUCUCUCUCUCUCCAUCCGCUGAUGCAUAUUAUUUCUCGCCCGAGCAUUGUCAAACAAAAUCGCCCUGAUCUUCCCCGCCUGCGCUUCGUCCGUGAUUUGGCGGACGAGCUCGGAUGGCGUUUCAGCCUCCUCUCCCGGCUUCCCAUCAGAGCCACCGGCCGACGCACGACACCACGCCGGAGGCACGACACCGCUCCAGAUCCUCUCCAUCACGCUGUGUGGUGCUUACGGAGCCAGACAUUGACGCGGCGCGCCAUCGGCAAGCGGUGCGAAGGAGCUCUAGGUGUUCGUGCCGGCUUCACCUCCACCGGACUCCCCCUGCCCGAGCUCCUCCCCGGCCCGGUCUCUCUGAAAAGAAGACAUGGAUGAGAAGCCGGAGAUGAGGCUUGCGGCGGCCGGCUUCGAACGGAGGCGGGAGCGGCCCUCGCUGGGGUCGAGAGGCGCUGCAGCGGCUGACGGUGUAAGGCGCCAGGCGGUGGAGCCAGGCAUAUGGGAGGCCUCACCAGCUCACUUCUUUGCCUCUCGCCUUUGCAGCGCCGGCCGUCUUCACUGGUGGCUCUCCAUGACCAAACGACGCCACCACACGGAGCUUCCCCUCUGUCUCGCCUUGCCCCAGCGUCGUCCCCUUGCCCUCGAGUCCAAGCGAGGCUCGCCAAGCAAGGAUGGUGGCGACAAGAAGACGCAUCGCCUCAAUUUCAGUCUUCUCCAAUAAGGACGUGCCCGUCGCCGGCUUGGCCAUUUCCAGAGGUUUGCUGGGAGGUGCGGAUAAGGCCCGAAAAGUGCCUGGCUGGAUAGGAUGGACGCGGAUUGUGCCGUGCGUAUGUAGUUCAUCUGCAGAGCUGCAGCUGAGAAAUGCAGUCUCAUCAGGGUCUCGCUGGCCACUGUCGUCGCCCGCAGUUCCCGCAGCCAGGUUGGCCGUGAUGGAUACCGGCGAAUCAACCACUGCCCGCCUGAUGGUGCACUCAAUGUUGUUCCACUCCCACUGUAGGGGAGCAGGCGGCUGUGGCAUCAGGACCAUCCGGGUCCGGAUCAAUUCGUCGAGUCACAUACCACUUCCACUGAUCUCUUUAGAGUAUAUGAUUGCUUCAGAAAGGUGCUAUCUGCAAUUCGAUAACAUAUACAUAUCCAAAAGAAAUUGUUGGUAUAAUAUUGCUUGAGAAAUAAUCUCUUCCAGGUGUGGGAGCUGAAAGUUGAAAAUGAUCUUAUAAGUCUGAUUAUCUAAAACAUCAAAAUGAUUAAUUUGUAGAUUGUACAGUUUGAAAAUUCUGCCUCUGAAGUAUAGAGGACGUUAUCAUCUGAAACAUCAAAAUGAUUAAUGUGUGAGUUUGGAUUGCCAUGCUAUGCGCAUGGGCACAUGGCCACACACUAGAGAAGUGUGUUCUAUUUCUUCCAAUUUUUUGACAAGCUACUGUAUAUUCUUUCUGCAUAAGAUUUCAAAACCGCAUAUAUUUGACUUUUGAAGCACUUUCUCAAGAUCAUUGUGUCUAAAAAAUUAGUAAUCUCUUACUAUAGCUAUUAUCCAAGAAUUGCAUGUUUUUACUUUUUACUAGAACACUGCAUCGUCAGUCGUCAUGACCAGUUUAUUUAACUGCCUAAUGGAGUUCGGCUCUUGCCCCAUCUUUAGUUACAUGUUUUAGCUUUUUUAAUUACUGAUCUUUAUGUCUGUCAUGUUCACCGUUUUCCAAAUCGCUUCAUUUCUUUGUUGUCAGGAAAGUUCUAUGGUUGAUGGGGAGCUUCAGUAUCUUCGUGUGGCCAUGGGCCAUCAAAAUGAAUCUUUUGAGGAUUUCGUGAAGUCACAUGAUGCAUGCCAAGAGGACCUUAUGUUUUCCCCGAAGAAUAAAAGCUAUGGUCUUGCCAGUGUUGCUGGAAAUGCUGAUAAGAUUUUUGCUUUGCAACACGAGUUUGAAAUUGUGAGGAAGAGAAUGGAUGCUGAAGCAAAGAAAGCAUAUAAGUUACAUGACUAACUUCCAUAUCUGCACAAGACAUGUCUAAUGAUACUUCCAUAUCUGCACAAGACAUGUCUAAUGAUCUGCAUUCUGCUCACCUAUGGAUGCCAGCUCCACCUCUGAUAAAAAAGGAAGGUCAAAGCAUUGGCUACUACAUCAAGAACCAGGCUUCAAUACAAUUCAAAGAGCUGCAGCACCGUUGCUAAUAUAGUUUGCUGACAUAUUGGUAAAUAAAGCAUACGAAGAGUGGAUGCAUGAUGUAGGAUACGAUCGUAAGACACUCCAGAGCUUCAAGCAUAAUCUGUCGCAACCAGAAGUGAUAUAGCAGCAGCUUCAACAAUUAACCAUGCUUCACAUGGUUCAAUCAAUGCACAGAAACAAUUAUUGCGGGAAAAGCUAGCCAAACUUCCGCAGGUACUAUAAAGUCAAGUCAGCUCAGCCUAAGGAUCCAAGAGGAAGAACAAAACCAUGAAUCUGCAGACUAACGUCCGCAGAAGACCAUGUUUAGAGCUGCUGAUGUACGUUCAGUCUAGGAACAAAGACUUCUAUUAUACUGUUGUAUAUAUUAAGUGCCCACCAGGACAAUAAAUUACUUUGUCGUGCUACUAUGUUCUGUAUCAUACUCUGUUUCAUCGGGCUUCCGAGUAUUAAGUGUACGUAUAAGCACUGUCCAAAAAAUCGUUCGAUUCAACGAUUAA
This is a non-coding RNA of Lolium perenne, 2665 nucleotides long. Lineage: Eukaryota; Viridiplantae; Streptophyta; Magnoliopsida; Poales; Poaceae. The record is from RefSeq and is a predicted model, not a curated record.